This 497-nucleotide ribosomal RNA is filed under the name uncultured bacterium. Its description in RNAcentral is "partial 16S ribosomal RNA". It matches the Rfam family "Bacterial small subunit ribosomal RNA", at positions 28 to 507 of the family's 1533-position model. The record is from RNAcentral.
GAUGAACGCUGGCGGCGUGCCUAAUACAUGCAAGUCGAGCGAACAGAUGAGGAGCUUGCUCCUCUGACGUUAGCGGCGGACGGGUGAGUAACACGUGGAUAACCUACCUAUAAGACUGGGAUAACUUCGGGAAACCGGAGCUAAUACCGGAUAAUAUAUUGAACCGCAUGGUUCAAUAGUGAAAGACGGUUUUGCUGUCACUUAUAGAUGGAUCCGCGCCGCAUUAGCUAGUUGGUAAGGUAACGGCUUACCAAGGCAACGAUGCGUAGCCGACCUGAGAGGGGGUCGGCCCACAAGGGAAUUGAGACCGGGCCCAGCCUCCGCGGGGGGGCGCAAGUAGGAAAUCUUCCGAAGAGGGCGAAGCCCUGAGGGGGCAACGCGGGGGGAGGAAUAAGGUUUUUCGCCUCUAAAAACUUUUUUAUGGGGGAAAAAAAAAUGUGAAAGUAAUUAUGCACGCCUGGACGGAACUUAAUAAAAAGGCCACGGCUAACUACGUC